This is a non-coding RNA of Arachis ipaensis, 661 nucleotides long. The record is from RefSeq and is a predicted model, not a curated record. Lineage: Eukaryota; Viridiplantae; Streptophyta; Magnoliopsida; Fabales; Fabaceae.
UUCUUAACAAAGAAAAAAGAAAACCAUCGAGCCCUAACCCUCGUUCUCUUCACGCGUGACCCUUCCAUGGAGCCUUCUUUCUAAUCCAUUUCCCAACCUAUCCAUGGAGCCUAACCCUCUCUCCUAGCCACGCACUUUCCUCCCCUCACGAACGACGCCACCCUGACCAGCAACUGUCACCGCACACCAGCCUCAGAGACACCUCGACCCUCAGCGGAACUCCUUGGUUGAUGAUGGACGAGUGACGACUGAUCCUCAGAGAUACCAACUUCUCUGUGACUACUGAUGCUUUUCUGCUCAGUCUGGUCACCUUCUUCAUCCCUGUUAGCUUUACUACUUCUUCUCUACUCUCUUCUUCGAACGUUCUCUUCUUCUCUUCUCAGCUACUUGGAACUUCUCGCAAAUGCCUUGGACUGUGAAAAUUGGUCACUGGUUUAAUUCCUCAUGUCAUCUUCUUACAGUGGAUAUGGCACCUCCAGCUUGCAACAAGUAAAAAAGUUCACAAAUGUUCCAGAAACAAUUAUGUAUGAUCUAAGGGAAGGAAGUUUAAAAGGGCUAGAGGAAGGAGGAACAACAAAGGAAAUAGAAUUUAAGUUGUAUUGUUUUUGUAUUUUUUUUCAGUUUUUAGUUUUGGAAUUCGAACUCGUGAUUUAUUUUCUAU